RNAcentral lists this unclassified non-coding RNA (569 nucleotides) under Penicillium chrysogenum. RNAcentral's name for it is "sequence contains ITS1, 5.8S rRNA gene, ITS2". The stretch from base 203 to 355 matches the Rfam family "5.8S ribosomal RNA". Lineage: Eukaryota; Fungi; Ascomycota; Eurotiomycetes; Eurotiales; Aspergillaceae. The record is from RNAcentral.
CGUAGGUGACCUGCGGAGGAUCAUUACCGAGUGAGGGCCCUCUGGGUCCAACCUCCCACCCGUGUUUAUUUUACCUUGUUGCUUCGGCGGGCCCGCCUUAACUGGCCGCCGGGGGGCUUACGCCCCCGGGCCCGCGCCCGCCGAAGACACCCUCGAACUCUGUCUGAAGAUUGUAGUCUGAGUGAAAAUAUAAAUUAUUUAAAACUUUCAACAACGGAUCUCUUGGUUCCGGCAUCGAUGAAGAACGCAGCGAAAUGCGAUACGUAAUGUGAAUUGCAAAUUCAGUGAAUCAUCGAGUCUUUGAACGCACAUUGCGCCCCCUGGUAUUCCGGGGGGCAUGCCUGUCCGAGCGUCAUUGCUGCCCUCAAGCACGGCUUGUGUGUUGGGCCCCGUCCUCCGAUCCCGGGGGACGGGCCCGAAAGGCAGCGGCGGCACCGCGUCCGGUCCUCGAGCGUAUGGGGCUUUGUCACCCGCUCUGUAGGCCCGGCCGGCGCUUGCCGAUCAACCCAAAUUUUUAUCCAGGUUGACCUCGGAUCAGGUAGGGAUACCCGCUGAACUUAAGCAUAUCA